AGAACUCCCGCAAGAAAAUAUUCAUCGGCCCUUCACCUCCUUUCUCUCUCCCAGAAGUCGACAUAUUGUCUACCCCUCAUGACCUACGCUGUUUUUGAAGGUCCUUGUCCGAGCACAGCGCACAUUCCGCCAUCGUCGAUAAUCACUCCAUGUUCUCCGUUUUUGAACGCAGAAGGGUCGCGAUUCAGAUCUGAACCUCACACGUCUUCCACACUUCCUCUCGCCAUUUUGUCGCCGACGGUGCUUCUUCCCUGCUCCAUUGCUCCCUGGAUAUGAACUCUAGAUAAAGAAACCUUCUAUCUGAAAAGUUCAUACGUGAAUACACUGGUAAAGUUGAUGAAUUGGUGAAGGACAAAAUUGAAGUGCAAAAUGAAGUGAAGGCUAAAGAGAAGGAGGAAAAGGAAGUAAUCAUGCAACAGAUUCUGUUGAUGCACAGCUGUAGAUCUACAACGGGAAAGGAUGCAGAUUCCUGUGAUGGCGAGAUGGAUGGUCCUUAGAAAUUGACUGGCGACACAACAACCCAAUCUGCAUCUUCAAAUAGCAGCAAAUUUUGGCGACGCGCUCUAUAAUUUGCAACAGCUAUUGGCACGGUAACAUAUAGUGAUCACCUGUGACAGGCUUCUCGGAGCGACAUGACGAUGGACUCUAGGUAGUGUCAAUGGCGGGAAGGGAGAGGACCAAAGUUGGAAGGGUUUUGAGAGAAAAGAACAUUAGAAAAUAUCUGCCCUCCUGCGAAUGUCCACUACUAAUAAAACAAGCGCUCAUAAAGGUGACUAUAAGAGUACUCACCUUUAUUUAUUUUAUUUUAUUUUUAAAUUCUAAACUUAUAAGAGCGCUUAAAUAAUAAGCGCUCUUAUAGGGUCCUUUUUUAAAAGUUUUUAAUUUAAACCUAUGGGAAUGCUUACAUAAUAAGAGCUACAUUAGGUCCUUUUAUUUUUUUUUUUAUUUUUUUAAAUUUUUUAAACCUAUAGGAGGGCUUCCAUAAUAAGCGCUCCAAUAGGGUUCUCUAGUUUUUCUUUUUAAAACUUUUAAAACUUAUUAGAGCACUUUUAAAAUAAGCAUUUUCAAAUGUCAUUUUAAUUUUUUUUCUUUAUUUUUUUUACAAUCUACAAGAGCGCUUUGAAAUAGGCGCUCCUAAAGCAUAUUUUGUAACAGUGAUUACUUUUUUGCCUUAUCUCACUUCUAUUAGAGAGGUUUAUAUAUGAUUUUAGCAAGAUAGCCUUGCCACUCUCAA
Molecule: long non-coding RNA, 1234 nt
Organism: Prosopis cineraria
Lineage: Eukaryota; Viridiplantae; Streptophyta; Magnoliopsida; Fabales; Fabaceae
Exons: 3
Source: RefSeq, a predicted model, not a curated record